UGAUUCCUCCCAAGAGUUCAUAUCGACGGGGGAGUUUGGCACCUCGAUGUCGGCUCAUCACAUCCUGGGGCUGUAGCCGGUCCCAAGGGUAUGGCUGUUCGCCAUUUAAAGUGGUACGUGAGCUGGGUUUAAAACGUCGUGAGACAGUUUGGUCCCUAUCUGCCGUGGGCGUUGGAAAUUUGAAGGGGGCUGCUCCUAGUACGAGAGGACCGGAGUGGACGAACCUCUGGUGUACCGGUUGUCACGCCAGUGGCAUUGCCGGGUAGCUAAGUUCGGAAGAGAUAACCGCUGAAAGCAUCUAAGCGGGAAACUUGCCUUGAGAUGAGAUUUCCCGGAGCCUUGAGCUCCUUGAAGGGUCGUUCGAGACCAGGACGUUGAUAGGCUGGGUGUGGAAGUGCAGUAAUGCAUUAAGCUAACCAGUACUAAUUGCCCGUACGGCUUGUCCCUAUAACCUUGGUAGGCUAUA
Molecule: ribosomal RNA, 466 nt
Filed under: Massilia consociata
Lineage: Bacteria; Pseudomonadati; Pseudomonadota; Betaproteobacteria; Burkholderiales; Oxalobacteraceae
Description: bacterial LSU rRNA
Rfam family: Bacterial large subunit ribosomal RNA
Source: RNAcentral